This 447-nucleotide ribosomal RNA is filed under the name uncultured bacterium. RNAcentral describes it as "SSU rRNA". It matches the Rfam family "Bacterial small subunit ribosomal RNA", at positions 26 to 518 of the family's 1533-position model. The record is from RNAcentral.
AGAACGAACGCUGGCGGCAGGCUUAACACAUGCAAGUCGAACGCUCGUAGCAAUACGGGAGUGGCAGACGGGUGAGUAACGCGUGGGAACAUACCCUCCGGUUCGGAAUAGCUCAGGGAAACUUGGAUUAAUACCGGAUACGGCUGAGAGGCGAAAGAUUUAUCGCCGGAGGAUUGGCCCGCGUUCGAUUAGCUUGUUGGUGAGGUAACGGCUCACCAAGGCGAUGAUCGAUAGCUGGUCUGAGAGGAUGAUCAGCCACAUUGGGACUGAGACACGGCCCAAACUCCUACGGGAGGCAGCAGUGGGGAAUAUUGGACAAUGGGCGCAAGCCUGAUCCAGCCAUGCCGCGUGAGUGAUGACGGCCUUAUGGUUGUAAAGCUCUUUCGCUCGGGACGAUAAUGACGGUACCGAGAUAAGAAGCCCGGCUAACUUCGCGCCAGCAGCCGC